AUGAACUGCGAUGACCUGCUGCUGCCUGAAAUUUUGCAGGGUUUUGGGGGAUCGACUGCAAGCUUCCCCACAACCUACCUGGGGUUACCUCUCUCCCCCAAGAGGCUGCGCUUAGUGCACUUCCAGUUCCUAAUCGACCGUAUCAAGUCGCGUCUCGCGGGAUGGAAGGGCAAGUUGAUGUCGCUGGCAGGUCGACGUGUCCUGGUGCAGGCGGUGCUCUCUGUGCUGCCAACUUUCGCCAUGACUGUGCUCAAGGUGCCCAAGAAGAUACUCAAGGAGAUUGACAAGGCGCGCCGUCGGUUUCUAUGGGCGCAAGACGAGGCUCUGACGGGAGGAAAGUGCAAGGUGGCAUGGAAAUUGGUGUGCACCCCAACAGAAAAGGGUGGCUUAGGGCUGCUAGACUUGCUCCAGUUUGGCACGGCCCUCAGGCUGCGUUGGCUCUGGGCGUCCUGCCAGCACCCGAUGAGGCCCUGGACGGCUUUCCCCCUGCCUUGCAAUGACGCAGACCGAAAGAUGUUCACUGCCGCAACAAAGAUCAUCGUCGGCGACGGCCAAAGGGCCGGGUUCUGGACAUGCCCCUAG
Molecule: ribosomal RNA, 582 nt
Filed under: Triticum aestivum (bread wheat)
Lineage: Eukaryota; Viridiplantae; Streptophyta; Magnoliopsida; Poales; Poaceae
Description: partial small subunit ribosomal RNA
Source: RNAcentral